AUUGAACGCUGGCGGCAGGCUUAACACAUGCAAGUCGAGCGAGCGGCGGACGGGUGAGUAAUGUCUGGGAAACUGCCUGAUGGAGGGGGAGAACUACUGGAAACGGUAGCUAAUACCGCAUACCAUCAGAAGUGCCCAGAUGGGAUUAGCUAGUAGGUGGGGUAAUGGCUCACCUAGGCGAAGAUCCCUAGCUGGUCUGAGGGUAUGACCGGCAACACGGGAACUGUGACACGGCCCAGUCGCCUACGGGAGGGAGCAGUGGGGAAUAUUGCAAACUGGGCGCAAGCCUGAUGCAGCCAUGCCGGGUGUGUGAAGAAGGCCUUCGGGUUGUAAAGCACUUUCAGCGAGGAGGCGUUACUCGCAGAAGAAGCACCGGCUAACUCCGUGCCAGCAGCCGCGUUAUAC
RNAcentral lists this ribosomal RNA (405 nucleotides) under uncultured bacterium. RNAcentral describes it as "partial 16S ribosomal RNA". It matches the Rfam family "Bacterial small subunit ribosomal RNA", at positions 30 to 526 of the family's 1533-position model. The record is from RNAcentral.